AGAAUCAACGCUGGCGGCGUGCCUAACACAUGCAAGUCGCACGAGAAAGGGGACUCCGGUCCCUGAGUACAGUGGCGCACGGGUGAGUAACACGUGAAUCAUCUACCUUCGAGUGGGGAAUAAACUGAGAGAAAUCUUAGCUAAUACCGCAUAAUACCUACGGGUCAAAGCAGCAAUGCGCUUGAAGAGGAGUUCGCGGCAGAUUAGUUAGUUGGCGGGGUAAUGGCCCACCAAGACGAUGAUCUGUA
Molecule: ribosomal RNA, 248 nt
Filed under: uncultured bacterium
Lineage: Bacteria
Description: partial small subunit ribosomal RNA
Rfam family: Bacterial small subunit ribosomal RNA
Source: RNAcentral